AACCAUAGGCCAUGAAUCUGGUCUUGGGACACUGUCAGGUGGGCAGUUUGACUGGGGCGGUCGCCUCCCAAAAGGUAACGGAGGCGCGCAAAGGUUCUCUCAGUACGGUCGGAAAUCGUACGUAGAGUGUAAAGGCAAAAGAGAGCUUGAUUGCAAGACAUACAGGUCGAGCAAGGAUGAAAAUCGGACUUAGUGAUCCGGUGGUUCUGCGUGGA
Molecule: ribosomal RNA, 215 nt
Filed under: Clostridioides difficile
Lineage: Bacteria; Bacillati; Bacillota; Clostridia; Peptostreptococcales; Peptostreptococcaceae
Description: partial 23S ribosomal RNA
Rfam family: Bacterial large subunit ribosomal RNA
Source: RNAcentral